GAUGAACGCUGGCGGCGUGCCUAACACAUGCAAGUCGAACGGAACUUCUUUGACAGAAUUCUUCGGAAGGAAGUUGAUUAAGUUUAGUGGCGGACGGGUGAGUAACGCGUGAGUAACCUGCCUUUGAGAGGGGAAUAACUUCCCGAAAGGGAUGCUAAUACCGCAUGAUGCAUAGAAGUCGCAUGGCUUUUAUGCCAAAGAUUUAUCGCUCAAAGAUGGACUCGCGUCCGAUUAGCCAGUUGGCGGGGUAGCGGCCCACCAAAGCGACGAUCGGUAGCCGGACUGAGAGGUUGAACGGCCACAUUGGGACUGAGACACGGCCCAGACUCCUACGGGAGGCAGCAGUGGGGGAUAUUGCGCAAUGGGGGAAACCCUGACGCAGCAACGCCGCGUGAAGGAUGAAGGUUUUCGGAUUGUAAACUUCUUUUAUUUAGGACGAAGAAUGACGGUACUAAAUGAAUAAGCUCCGGCUAACUACGUG
This 481-nucleotide ribosomal RNA is filed under the name uncultured bacterium. RNAcentral describes it as "bacterial SSU rRNA". It matches the Rfam family "Bacterial small subunit ribosomal RNA", at positions 28 to 507 of the family's 1533-position model. The record is from RNAcentral.